Molecule: ribosomal RNA, 1200 nt
Filed under: Enterococcus faecalis
Lineage: Bacteria; Bacillati; Bacillota; Bacilli; Lactobacillales; Enterococcaceae
Description: bacterial SSU rRNA
Rfam family: Bacterial small subunit ribosomal RNA
Source: RNAcentral
GCUGGCGGCGUGCCUAAUACAUGCAAGUCGAACGCUUCUUUCCUCCCGAGUGCUUGCACUCAAUUGGAAAGAGGAGUGGCGGACGGGUGAGUAACACGUGGGUAACCUACCCAUCAGAGGGGGAUAACACUUGGAAACAGGUGCUAAUACCGCAUAACAGUUUAUGCCGCAUGGCAUAAGAGUGAAAGGCGCUUUCGGGUGUCGCUGAUGGAUGGACCCGCGGUGCAUUAGCUAGUUGGUGAGGUAACGGCUCACCAAGGCCACGAUGCAUAGCCGACCUGAGAGGGUGAUCGGCCACACUGGGACUGAGACACGGCCCAGACUCCUACGGGAGGCAGCAGUAGGGAAUCUUCGGCAAUGGACGAAAGUCUGACCGAGCAACGCCGCGUGAGUGAAGAAGGUUUUCGGAUCGUAAAACUCUGUUGUUAGAGAAGAACAAGGACGUUAGUAACUGAACGUCCCCUGACGGUAUCUAACCAGAAAGCCACGGCUAACUACGUGCCAGCAGCCGCGGUAAUACGUAGGUGGCAAGCGUUGUCCGGAUUUAUUGGGCGUAAAGCGAGCGCAGGCGGUUUCUUAAGUCUGAUGUGAAAGCCCCCGGCUCAACCGGGGAGGGUCAUUGGAAACUGGGAGACUUGAGUGCAGAAGAGGAGAGUGGAAUUCCAUGUGUAGCGGUGAAAUGCGUAGAUAUAUGGAGGAACACCAGUGGCGAAGGCGGCUCUCUGGUCUGUAACUGACGCUGAGGCUCGAAAGCGUGGGGAGCAAACAGGAUUAGAUACCCUGGUAGUCCACGCCGUAAACGAUGAGUGCUAAGUGUUGGAGGGUUUCCGCCCUUCAGUGCUGCAGCAAACGCAUUAAGCACUCCGCCUGGGGAGUACGACCGCAAGGUUGAAACUCAAAGGAAUUGACGGGGGCCCGCACAAGCGGUGGAGCAUGUGGUUUAAUUCGAAGCAACGCGAAGAACCUUACCAGGUCUUGACAUCCUUUGACCACUCUAGAGAUAGAGCUUUCCCUUCGGCGACAAAGUGACAGGUGGUGCAUGGUUGUCGUCAGCUCGAUGUCGUGCAGAUGUUGAGUAAGUCCCGCAACGAGCGCACCCUUAUUGUUAGGUGGCAUGCAUCUAGGUUGGCACUCUUAGCCGAGAACUGCGGUGACAAACGGAGAGGUGGGAUGACGGUCAAUCAUCAUGCCGCUUUAUGA